Molecule: ribosomal RNA, 341 nt
Filed under: uncultured soil bacterium
Lineage: Bacteria
Description: bacterial SSU rRNA
Rfam family: Bacterial small subunit ribosomal RNA
Source: RNAcentral
AGAUUGAACGCUGGCGGCAGGCCUAACACAUGCAAGUCGAGCGGUAGAGAGGUGCUUGCAUCUCUUGAGAGCGGCGGACGGGUGAGUAAUGCCUAGGAAUCUGCCUAGUGGUGGGGGAUAACGUUCGGAAACGGACGCUAAUACCGCAUACGUCCUACGGGAGAAAGCGGGGGACCUUCGGGCCUCGCGCCAUUAGAUGAGCCUAGGUCGGAUUAGCUAGUUGGUGAGGUAAUGGCUCACCAAGGCGACGAUCCGUAACUGGUCUGAGAGGGUGAUCAGUCACACUGGAACUGAGACACGGUCCAGACUCCUACGGGAGCAGCAGUGGGAAUAUUGGACAA